UACGGAGGGGGCUAGCGUUGUUCGGAAUUACUGGGCGUAAAGCGCACGUAGGCGGCUUUGUAAGUUAGAGGUGAAAGCCCGGGGCUCAACUCCGGAAUUGCCUUUAAGACUGCAUCGCUAGAAUUGUGGAGAGGUAAGUGGAAUUCCGAGUGUAGAGGUGAAAUUCGUAGAUAUUCGGAAGAACACCAGUGGCGAAGGCGGCUGCCUGGGCCUGGCCUGACGCUGAGGCGCGAAAGCGUGGGGAGCGAUCCGG
This 253-nucleotide ribosomal RNA is filed under the name uncultured bacterium. RNAcentral's name for it is "partial 16S ribosomal RNA". It matches the Rfam family "Bacterial small subunit ribosomal RNA", at positions 524 to 776 of the family's 1533-position model. The record is from RNAcentral.